Molecule: long non-coding RNA, 1072 nt
Filed under: Monodelphis domestica (gray short-tailed opossum)
Lineage: Eukaryota; Metazoa; Chordata; Mammalia; Didelphimorphia; Didelphidae
Description: lncRNA (ENSMODG00000037730.1)
Source: RNAcentral
GCUGGCCAUUAUUUUUUCCCCUGAAUCAUAUACCUAGAAAGCUGGAGAAUGGGAGGUUUCUUGAGUUAAUAGUAAAAAUCAUAAUUCGAAUUCAUGGUUGGGAAAGUCCUUUAUAAGCAUUAUCCCAGUCAAGCUUCCAAUUUCUCCUCUUCCUGACGUCUGGAGUCAGGCAGGACAAGGCUGAUCCCUUCUCCCCUAAUAGCCCCUCACACACUGAAGACAGCCAUCAUAAGCCCUGAAUUGCCCUCUCUUCCCCCCUUCCCACUUCCCAAAGAAGGAGUGGGAAAGCCAAAUUGUGGGAGGACUGACUGGCUGGGAUCGGUGGGCAGCCGCUUCUCUCCAGUUCCUCAGAUGCAGCCUCUCACCCUCUCACCCCAGAUGAGGAAACUGAGAUUCAAAGAGGGAAGGUGAUUUCCCCCAGGUCCCCCAGAAGAGCUGGACUUCACACUCAAGCUUCCUGCAAGAAAGAACAGUUCUUGAAUCAGCUGGUGUACGUGCUAAAGAAGAACAUCAAGGUUCCAUAGGGAUAUGGCUUAAUCCAGUACUUGCCACCAUGAUGCCUCCCGAGACUAUCUCUCCUAAUGAGGUUGUAAGCAGGACCCAGGACCCUGUAGGAUACCUGCCUUCCCCAAAGGGGAAAGGCUUCCCUGUCUUAUCUUCCAUACAUUCCUGCUGUGUUGGAUGAAGUCUAUGGGAUGUAAAUGGAAGUAUAUGGGAUGAGCUAGAAGGCUCCAAGGAACAAGAUCUGGAUUAGAAUGAACCUGUCAGGAACAGAAGUGCAGCCAUCCCUUUGAGAAGAACUGGUUCAACUCUUCCCAGAAAAGUGGGGAAGGACUUCAGUUCCCCGGGAAAUUAAUUGGCUCUUCUGGCUGGGAAUCACCAUUGUUAUCACCAACAAUAUCAGAGAGAGUCAUUAAAUACUGGAUCAAGGAAGGCCUUGAGCCAUCAUCCUGUCUAGACCCUUCCUUUCACAGCUGAAGAAAGAAGCCUGAGGCCCAGAGAGUCCCCAAGCUCAUGCAGCCAAUUAACUGACUUCUGGGAUGGGGUUCUGCCAAUUAUUCCACAUUGCCUC